CCUUUGGGUGGGGGAAUAACUCAGGGAAACUUGAGCUAAUACCGCAUAAUGCAGCGGCUCGACAUCGAGACAGUUGUUAAAGCGGGGGAUUGGAGCAAUCCGACCUCGCGCCUAAAGAGAAGCCUGCGGCAGAUUAGCUAGUUGGUAAGGUAAUGGCUUACCAAGGCUACGAUCUGUAACCGGCCUGAGAGGGCGGUCGGUCACACUGACACUGACAUACGGGUCAG
Molecule: ribosomal RNA, 227 nt
Filed under: uncultured bacterium
Lineage: Bacteria
Description: partial 16S ribosomal RNA
Rfam family: Bacterial small subunit ribosomal RNA
Source: RNAcentral